RNAcentral lists this ribosomal RNA (600 nucleotides) under Escherichia coli. RNAcentral describes it as "bacterial SSU rRNA". It matches the Rfam family "Bacterial small subunit ribosomal RNA", at positions 39 to 631 of the family's 1533-position model. Lineage: Bacteria; Pseudomonadati; Pseudomonadota; Gammaproteobacteria; Enterobacterales; Enterobacteriaceae. The record is from RNAcentral.
GGGGCGGCGCUACCAUGCAGUCGAACGGUAACAGGAAGCAGCUUGCUGCUUUGCUGACGAGUGGCGGACGGGUGAGUAAUGUCUGGGAAACUGCCUGAUGGAGGGGGAUAACUACUGGAAACGGUAGCUAAUACCGCAUAACGUCGCAAGACCAAAGAGGGGGACCUUAGGGCCUCUUGCCAUCGGAUGUGCCCAGAUGGGAUUAGCUAGUAGGUGGGGUAACGGCUCACCUAGGCGACGAUCCCUAGCUGGUCUGAGAGGAUGACCAGCCACACUGGAACUGAGACACGGUCCAGACUCCUACGGGAGGCAGCAGUGGGGAAUAUUGCACAAUGGGCGCAAGCCUGAUGCAGCCAUGCCGCGUGUAUGAAGAAGGCCUUCGGGUUGUAAAGUACUUUCAGCGGGGAGGAAGGGAGUAAAGUUAAUACCUUUGCUCAUUGACGUUACCCGCAGAAGAAGCACCGGCUAACUCCGUGCCAGCAGCCGCGGUAAUACGGAGGGUGCAAGCGUUAAUCGGAAUUACUGGGCGUAAAGCGCACGCAGGCGGUUUGUUAAGUCAGAUGUGAAAUCCCCGGGCUCAACCUGGGAACUGCAUCUGAU